AGAGAUGGGUUUCUGGACUCGCGAAGCAGCUGCAACAAGGCAUCACUCACUGUAUAAGUAUUUCCAUUUCUGAGAGCAAAAGGAAGAACUUAAGCGGGCGGCACUUGGAGUGUAAAUUGCUUUGUAGUAUUUAAAGGCAGAAUGGAUCCUGGGCAGCCGAGCUGCAACAAACCGGCAGGACUUCCUGUGAAAUCAUGACCACCAUGUGCUCUUUCAGCCUCUAUCAGUUCCUACCUCUAAGCACCUGAGAGCCAAAGCAAACCACAGGAAACCACAGGUACUAACUCUUUUAGACCUGAUGAAGUGUCUCCCAAAUACAGUCUGGCAUGACUCAAACUAAACGUCAGCUUUUCCCGGCUCUCAAGCCUGCUGGUCCCUGAACUAAAACUCACAUUAUCAACUCUACUGGUUCUUAGGCCUUUGGAGUCAGACUGGAACUACAGCAUUGACUCUUCCGGAACUCCAGCUUACUGACUACAGAUCUUGGAACUUUUCAGCUUCCACAACCAUAAUGAAAGCCAAGCAUAUUCCAUCAUUUCCUAAAACCAAGAUAGAGCACAUAUGGGAACUUGUGAAAUAAGGAUGCCCUGCGGUUGUUUUCAGGACUGAAGACAACAGCUCCACGAUGAAACCAAAGCACAAAGAGAGAAAGAAAAGAAAGAGAAAAAAGGAAGAAAGAAAAGAAAGAUGAAAGAAAGAAAGAGAAAGAAGAGAGAGGGAGAGAGAGAAAGAAAGAGAAGGAAAGAAAGAAGGAAGAAGAAAGAAAGAAAGAAAGAAAGAAAGAAAGAAAGAAAGAAAGAAAGAAAGAAAGAAAGAAAGAAAGAAAGAAAAAAGGAAGGAAGGAAAAGAAACACAUGGAAAGUGGUGAGGAUGGGGAGGUGUCAAACAAGACCUAACCUCUCAACAAUCAGCUGGACACUGUUGUGUAAGAAUGUGAAGCUUGGCACUGCUGCAGCCAUCUUGUUCCAGGAAGGGUAAAACCUGAGGUUAGAAGCCAACAUCCUAAUGAUGGCAGAGAAGACAAAGAGAACCAGAGUCUAAAUGACAUUGUUGAGUUAGAUCACUACACUACCUCUAGUCUUCUUUUUAUGUGUGAUAAUAAAUCUCACUUAUACUUAAGCCAUUUGAAGUUGAGUCUAAUGUUCAUUUCAGACCAAAGCAGCUUAACUGACAUGUUCUCCGCUUUGUUACCCUAUCCAGUUGUUUUCAUGCAGGAAAUAAAUCUCAAAUUACC
This 1234-nucleotide long non-coding RNA is filed under the name Homo sapiens (human). RNAcentral's name for it is "long intergenic non-protein coding RNA 1322". The record is from RNAcentral. Lineage: Eukaryota; Metazoa; Chordata; Mammalia; Primates; Hominidae.